GCCGGUAAAAAAAUAACAGCUUAUAAAAUAUAAGGAAACGGUUGAAUAAAAUCUGGUUAGGUUAAAGACAUAUUUGGUAGGACUUCUUCAUGCUCUGGCUUCUUGCUACAGCACUAGAGGAGUCGGAGCUACAAGGCCUUGUUUAGUUUACCCUGAAAACCAAAAAGUUUUCAAGAUUCCCCGUCACAUCGAAUCUUGUGGCACAUGCAUGAAACAUUAAAUAUAGACGAAAACAAAAACUAAUUACACAGUUUAGCUGGAAAUCACGAGACGAAUCUUUUGAUCCUAGUUAGUCCAUGAUUGAAUAAUAUUAGUCACAAACAAACGAAAGUGCUACAGUACUGAAAACUUUUCACUUUUCGAAACUAAACAAGGCCCCAGUUUAUUUUAAGUAGAAAGAGAAAAAAAAGUUUUUUUUAUGAACAAUAUGUUCAGCCUAUAUUCAUUUUAUCCCUAAGAGCCUGUUUAAAUAAACUCAAAAACCCAAAAGUUUAUAAAAUUUUCCAUCAAAUCAAAUCUUACAGUAAAUGCAUGAAGCAUUAAAUAUAGAUAAAAAAUAACUAAUUCUACAGUUUAUCUAUAAAUCACGAGAUGAAUUUUUUAAGUCUAGUUAGUUCAUAAUUUGAUAAUAUGUGUGAAACGAAAAUGAAAGUCCUAC
RNAcentral lists this long non-coding RNA (658 nucleotides) under Sorghum bicolor (sorghum). RNAcentral's name for it is "long non-coding RNA (SBIC_LNC015188)". The record is from RNAcentral. Lineage: Eukaryota; Viridiplantae; Streptophyta; Magnoliopsida; Poales; Poaceae.